RNAcentral lists this transfer RNA (86 nucleotides) under Candidatus Yanofskyibacteriota bacterium. Its description in RNAcentral is "Candidatus Yanofskybacteria bacterium tRNA-Ser". It matches the Rfam family "tRNA". From Rfam's summary of the family: Transfer RNA (tRNA) molecules are approximately 80 nucleotides in length. Their secondary structure includes four short double-helical elements and three loops (D, anti-codon, and T loops). Further hydrogen bonds mediate the characteristic L-shaped molecular structure. tRNAs have two regions of fundamental functional importance: the anti-codon, which is responsible for specific mRNA codon recognition, and the 3' end, to which the tRNAs corresponding amino acid is attached (by aminoacyl-tRNA synthetases). tRNAs cope with the degeneracy of the genetic code in two manners: having more than one tRNA (with a specific anti-codon) for a particular amino acid; and 'wobble' base-pairing, i.e. permitting non-standard base-pairing at the 3rd anti-codon position. Lineage: Bacteria; Candidatus Yanofskyibacteriota. The record is from RNAcentral.
GGAGGGGGCGCAUAAUGGCUGGUGCAGGAGAUUGCUAAUCUCCGACCUUGAAAGAGGUCAUGUGGGUUCGACUCCCACUCCCUCCG